AUUGAACGCUGGCGACAUGCUUUACACAUGCAAGUCGAACGGUAACAGGCCUUCGGGUGCUGACGAGUGGCGAACGGGUGAGUAAUGCAUCGGAACGUACCCAGAGGUGGGGGAUAACGCAGCGAAAGCUGUGCUAAUACCGCAUGUGAUCUGAGGAUGAAAGCGGGGGACCGAGCAGCAAUGUUUGGCCUCGCGCCUUUGGAGCGGCCGAUGUCGGAUUAGCUAGUUGGUGGGGUAAAGGCCUACCAAGGCGACGAUCCGUAGCUGGUCUGAGAGGACGACCAGCCACACUGGGACUGAGACACGGCCCAGACUCCUACGGGAGGCAGCAGUGGGGAAUUUUGGACAAUGGGCGCAAGCCUGAUCCAGCAAUGCCGCGUGCGGGAAGAAGGCCUUCGGGUUGUAAACCGCUUUUGGCAGGAACGAAACGGUGUCCGCUAAUACCGGGCGCUAAUGACGGUACCUGCAGAAUAAGCACCGGCUAACUACGUG
This 492-nucleotide ribosomal RNA is filed under the name uncultured bacterium. Its description in RNAcentral is "partial 16S ribosomal RNA". It matches the Rfam family "Bacterial small subunit ribosomal RNA", at positions 29 to 507 of the family's 1533-position model. The record is from RNAcentral.